This is a non-coding RNA of Mus caroli (Ryukyu mouse), 1304 nucleotides long. Lineage: Eukaryota; Metazoa; Chordata; Mammalia; Rodentia; Muridae. The record is from RefSeq and is a predicted model, not a curated record.
AUGGCGAGUAAAGAGAUGUUUGAAGAUACUGUGGAGGAGCAUGCCAUCAAUGAGGAAUAUAAAAUCUGGAAGAAGAAAACACCGUUUCUGCAUGGCCUGGUUAUGACCCAUGCUCUUCAGUGGCCCAGUCUUACCGUUCAGUGGCUUCCUGAAGGACUAAACCAGAAGGAAAGGAUUAUGCCCUUCAUUGGCUACUGCUGGGCACUCACUCAUACAUCUGAUGAGCAGAACCAUCUGGUGGUUGCUCGAGUUCAUAUUCCCAAUGAUGAUGCACAGUUUGAUGCUUCCCAUUGUGACAGUGACAAGGGAGAAUUCGGUGGCUUUGGUUCUGUAACAGGGAAAAAUGAAUGUGAAAUUAAAAUUAAUCAUGAAGGAGAAGUAAAUCAUGCUCGUUAUAUGCCACAGAAUCCUCACAUCAUUGCCACAAAAACACCAUCUUCUGAUGCUUUGGUUUUUGACUAUACAAAACACCCUGCAAAACCAGAUCCAAGUGGAGAAUGUAAUCCUGAUCUUAGAUUAAGAGGUCACCAAAAGGAAGGCUAUGGUCUUUCCUGGAAUUCUAAUUUGAGUGGGCAUCUCCUGAGUGCAUCUGAUGACCAUACUGUCUGCCUGUGGGAUAUAAAUGCAGGACCAAAGGAAGGCAAAACUGUGGAUGCUAAACCAAUCUUUACUGGCCACCCAGCUGUUGUAGAGGAUGUGGCCUGGCAUCUGCUGCAUGAGUCCUUGUUUGGAUCUGUUGCUGAUGAUCAGAAACUUAUGAUAUGGGACACCAGAUCCAAUACCACUUCUAAGCCAAGCCAUUUGGUGGAUGCACACACUGCUGAGGUCAACUGCCUCUCAUUCAAUCCCUACAGCGAGUUCAUUCUGGCAACUGGCUCUGCAGAUAAGACUCUAGCUUUAUGGGACCUGCGUAAUCUGAAACUAAAACACCACACCUUCGAAUCGCAUAAGGAUGAAAUUUUCCAGGUCCACAGGUCUCCACAUAAUGAAACUAUUCUGGCUUCAAGUGGUACUGAUCGCCACCUGAAUGUGUGGGAUUUAAGUAAAAUUGGAGAAGAACAAUCAGCAGAAGAUGCAGAAGAUGGGCCUCCAGAGUUCCUGUUUAUUCAUGGAGGGCACACUGCCAAGAUUUCUGACUUCAGCUGGAAUCCCAAUGAACCUUGGGUCAUUUGCUCUGUGUCUGAAGAUAACAUCAUGCAGAUAUGGCAGAUGGCUGAAAAUAUUUACAAUGAUGAAGAGUCAGAUGUCACAGCAUCGGAACUGGAGGGGCAAGGAUCUUAAACCCAAAGUAUGAGUUGUUUUUA